This 436-nucleotide ribosomal RNA is filed under the name Triticum aestivum (bread wheat). RNAcentral's name for it is "partial small subunit ribosomal RNA". Lineage: Eukaryota; Viridiplantae; Streptophyta; Magnoliopsida; Poales; Poaceae. The record is from RNAcentral.
CUGCACGCUUCGUCCCCAAUCUGUCGAUCCCCUCUCCGCUCGCCUCCUCCUCUCCCGGGUCGCUGCGCCGCCGGCUCAGCCGCUUCUCCUGCGCCUUCUCCUCCUCGCUCCUCUCCUCAUAGAUGAGUCCUCGACCAGAUCGGCGUCCAGCGCAGGAGGAUCCGGAUGGUCGUGGUGGUGGCAUAUUCAGCGGCGUCGCCGGACGAGCUCCAGGUGCGGGGGAGAUAUCUCUACGGGCCCGCGCAACCACGUCCCCUCGCUGACGUCGGCAUGUAGUCCGCCCAUGCCGUCGAGGAGAGGGAGCAGCCGCGCCCGGAGGAGGUCGUCCCCAACGUCUGCAUAAUCCAGUCCGGAUUUGUGGAGAGCCCGGUGCAGCACCGUCUACAGGUCCAUAUCUCUUACUCUACCUUCUUCCUUGCAAAGGCAAGGCUUCCAU